Salmo salar (Atlantic salmon) is the source of this 54-nucleotide non-coding RNA. The record is from Rfam. NCBI's taxonomy places the organism in Eukaryota, Metazoa, Chordata, Actinopteri, Salmoniformes, Salmonidae.
AUGUCCAGAUCUUGUAAGUCGCUCUGGAUAAGAGCGUCUGCUAAAUGACGUAAA